This 465-nucleotide ribosomal RNA is filed under the name uncultured bacterium. RNAcentral's name for it is "partial 16S ribosomal RNA". It matches the Rfam family "Bacterial small subunit ribosomal RNA", at positions 338 to 795 of the family's 1533-position model. The record is from RNAcentral.
CCUACGGGUGGCAGCAGUGGGGAAUAUUGCGCAAUGGGCGAAAGCCUGACGCAGCGACGCCGCGUGAGGGAUGAAGGUCUUCGGAUCGUAAACCUCUGUCAGCAGGGAAGAACGGUCACUGUGCUAAUCAUCAGUGAAUUGACGGUACCUGCAAAGGAAGCACCGGCUAACUCCGUGCCAGCAGCCGCGGUAAUACGGAGGGUGCGAGCGUUAAUCGGAAUUACUGGGCGUAAAGCGCUCGUAGGCGGUAUGUCAAGUCAAGGGUGAAAUCCCCGCGCUCAACGUGGGAACUGCCUUUGAAACUGGCAAACUGGAGUGUGUGAGAGGAUAGUGGAAUUCCAGGUGUAGGAGUGAAAUGCGUAGAUAUCUGGAGGAACAUCAGUGGCGAAGGCGACUAUCUGGCACAUAACUGACGCUGAGGAGCGAAAGCGUGGGUAGCAAACAGGAUUAGAUACCCGAGUAGUC